UUGCUAUUGGAGUCCGAUUUAGCCAUGCUAGUUGCACGAGUUCAGACUCGUAGCAGAUAGCUCAGUAACACGUGGCCAAACUACCCUAUGGAUCCGAAUAACCUCGGGAAACUGAGGCUAAUUCGGAAUACGGCUCACCACCUGGAGUGGUGUGAGCCCGAAACGCUCCGGCGCCAUAGGAUGUGGCUGCGGCCGAUUAGGUAGACGGUGGGGUAACGGCCCACCGUGCCCAUAAUCGGUACGGGUUGUGAGAGCAAGAGCCCGGAGACGGUAUCUGAGACAAGAUACCGGGCCCUACGGGGCGCAGCAGGCGCGAAACCUUUACACUGCACGAAAGUGCGAUAAGGGGACUCCAAGUGCGAGGGCAUAUAGUCCUCGCUUUUUGCGACCGUAAGGUGGUCGCGGAAUAAGUGCUGGGCAAGACCGGUGCCAGCCGCCGCGGUAAUACCGGCAGCACGAGUGAUGACCGCUAUUAUUGGGCCUAAAGCGUCCGUAGCUGGCCGUGCAAGUCCAUCGGGAAAUCCGCGCGCUUAACGCGCGGGCGUCCGGUGGAAACUGCAUGGCUUGGGACCGGAAGACCAGAGGGGUACGUCCGGGGUAGGAGUGAAAUCCCGUAAUCCUGGACGGACCACCGGUGGCGAAAGCGCCUCUGGAAGACGGAUCCGACGGUGAGGGACGAAAGCUCGGGUCACGAACCGGAUUAGAUACCCGGGUAGUCCGAGCUGUAAACGAUGUCUGCUAGGUGUGGCACAGGCUACGAGCCUGUGCUGUGCCGCAGGGAAGCCGUGAAGCAGACCGCCUGGGAAGUACGUCCGCAAGGAUGAAACUUAAAGGAAUUGGCGGGGGAGCACUACA
This 855-nucleotide ribosomal RNA is filed under the name Halobacteriaceae archaeon Ston12. RNAcentral's name for it is "bacterial SSU rRNA". It matches the Rfam family "Archaeal small subunit ribosomal RNA", at positions 27 to 883 of the family's 1478-position model. The record is from RNAcentral. Lineage: Archaea; Methanobacteriati; Methanobacteriota; Halobacteria; Halobacteriales; Halobacteriaceae.